Molecule: long non-coding RNA, 427 nt
Filed under: Mytilus galloprovincialis (Mediterranean mussel)
Lineage: Eukaryota; Metazoa; Mollusca; Bivalvia; Mytilida; Mytilidae
Source: RNAcentral
UAUAUGGAUUCUGAGUACUUUUAUAUGAAAAAAAUUGCAAAAAAGGCUACCUCCGGUUUUCUCAAGGUCACUUCCGGUAGUCAUUUUUCAAGGUAAUUUGUCACCUAACCUUUUUUACAAGGUCAAAUGACUUUAUAAUGAACUUAGUUGAAGUUAUAAUCAAAUAACCUCAUAUCAAGACAUUUCAGGGGCACCAACUCCUAUAAGAUGCCAUUAAAUUGUAUCAGACUAAAUGUAGCAUAUCUUCUUUACAAUAAAGCAGACAUUUUGCACUUGUUCUUUUAUAUGUAUCUUUCAAAGUGUCGGAGAAAAUGCAAAAACAAGCAAAAGUCACAAUUGAGAACUUGACCUUGACCUUUGACCUUGACCUCCUUUUCUAAGUUAGGACCUAGGGAUUUCAAAUAAAAACAUUCUAGGGUUAUACGGU